GGCGCCGCGCCCGGGCCCUCGCGCCUCUGCUGCCUCGCCCCGCGCACUUGUGAAACUGGGGCGGGAGCCCCUCCGCCGCCCGCGCCCCUGCCCGGUGUCCGCGUUAUAUACAUCAUGGCUAUGACUAAUGUUAGAUUGCUUGCCGGUGUUUUAAGAAAACCAGAUGCCUGGAUUGGACUCUGGGGUGUGCUCCGAGGGACACCUUCUUCACAUAAACUCUGUACUUCCUGGAAUCAAUACUUGUAUUUUUCAAGUACUGAGUUAAAUGCAUCAAAUUAUAAAACACUUUUCCAUAAUAUUUUCUCACUGAGACUCCCAGGGCUUUCAAUAUCUCCAGAAUAUGUUUUUCCAUUUUCCCUAAGACUCAAAGGUAGUGUAAGUUCUAAAAAAUCCACUAAAAAGUCUCCACAAAAAGUAGAAGAUGAAGAGGACUCUGAUGCAGAGGAGGAUGAUGACGAAAUGAGUGAGACGGAAGAGGAGCUUGAGGAUGACCCCAGUGUGGUCAAAGACUAUAAAGACCUGGAAAAAGUAGUGCCAUCUUUUCGGUAUGAUGUUAUCCUGAAGACGGGCCUAGAUGUUGGAAGAAACCAAGUGGAAGAUGCAUUCUACAGAGGUGAACUCAGGCUGAAUGGGGAAAAACUAUGGAAGAAAAGCAGAACGGUGAAAGUGGGAGACACAUUGGAUCUUCUCAUUGGAGACGAUAAAGAAGCAGAAGCAGAGACAGUGAUGCGGAUUCUCCUGAAAAAAGUGUUUGAAGAGAAGACUGAAACUGAAAAAUACAGAGUGGUGUUACGACGGUGGAAGAAGUUAAAGUUGCCUAAGAAGAGAAUUCCCGAGAAUCGUUAACUGCCAUGAAGAGAAACUUCUGUAGACCAAAGCAGUGGGAUGCUUGGGCCCAUGGGUCUGAAAGUCUUUCACCAGCUCAUUUUUCAGAAGCCUCAGGAAAACUGAUUUUUAUUUUAAAGCUUAAACUUUCAGGAAGAAAUAAUAUAUACUAUGCAGUGUAACAGGGAAUUUUCCUAUUUUACCACCUGUUAAUUUGGCUCUACUGAGUGGUCAGUAACAAUCGUAUGUUUAAUUUCUACACGAGUUAGUUAUGAAUUUGGGAAAUUAGAUGUCCAUACUUUUUCUCAUUUUCUUCUCCUCCCUCCCACCUCCACUCACCGUUUCCCCUCUCUCUCUCACCCUCCCUUGACUUCUCUUUGGAAAGGGACUAGAAAGCCUAAGAGGUCCUGGUUGGUGAGGGCAGUACGAUCUAGUGAUAAGUCAGGGGUCCUGGGUUAUCAGGCCCAAUCUUGCCAUUAACAAGUUGGGUUACUUUGGUCAUAGUUUUACCUUAACCUCUCUGCCUCAGUUUCUUCACUGGUCAAAUGGAGAUCAGGAUACCGAUUGCUCUACCUUGUGUCUUGAAGGAGAAAGAACAUUAAAGCAUGUUGUGAGAGUUACUGUUAAAGGAUUAUCAGUCAACAACUUCCCAAAGAUCUCAAGGGAGCAGUGAAGGAUGUGAUAAAUUCUGGGUCUGCUCUUACUAGGAUGUCAGAAAAACAUUAAGGCUGGAUCUACGAGAGGCAAGUAUUUCCAAACAGCAGUAACAGCCCCCGGCCCCCACCCCCACUCCAGUGUUAUCUACAGUCUAUCUACACAGCCGGGCAGGGUGCAAGCACAACGGCCUCCCUUCAGGAGUCUCGAGAACUCCUCUCAACUGGGCAAGAAGCAAACAUUGGGUGGGGGAAAUGGUGGAAACUGAGGCCACCUCUAGAGGAACCCAGGUGGCCAUGCUGUGGUGUUGUCAGGCCAGCGACCCUCACCUUUCCAACAGCCAUCCAUCCAUUCACCACUAAGUAGAUCCCAUAGGUUGGUUGAUGAUUGCAGCUGAUGUGCUACUCCUCCCCCCAAACUUAAAAGGAAAGGAAGGUUUGGGGCCAACACCGAAGGGGGAGGAGCACAUGAGUGCUAAUGACACUAGACACAAUUUUAUUCCCUGUCAAAUGGUUUGUUGUCAUGUAGACACAGCCAAGGUGAACUGAAGCAGGAUUCCAACACUCAGUCCAUUCACAACUAUCUUCAUACAUUCUUUAAAAACUUACUAACAGAGAAGAUGAUGAAGACUACCACCUAUUGUGACUUACUAUUUCACUUAACACCAAAAUGUGUGCUAAUUGUUUAGUCCUUGAAAUACAAGGCCAAAAAAAAAAAAAAAUUCCAAAAAGCAAGUAAAAACCUAAGAAUUUAGAUGGGGAGAAGGAAAAGGGUUGCCAACAGAUUUCACAGAACAUAUUAA
Molecule: RNA transcript, 2281 nt
Organism: Lemur catta (Ring-tailed lemur)
Lineage: Eukaryota; Metazoa; Chordata; Mammalia; Primates; Lemuridae
Gene: MTRES1
Gene name: mitochondrial transcription rescue factor 1
Exons: 7
Source: RefSeq, a predicted model, not a curated record